ACUCAAAUGAAUUGACGGGGGCCCGCACAAGCGGUGGAGUAUGUGGUUUAAUUCGACGCAACGCGAAGAACCUUACCAGCCUUUGACAUGUCUACUAUGAAUCUUCGAAAGUUGAUUCUUCACUUCGGGUGGGUAGAACACAGGUGCUGCAUGGCUGUCGUCAGCUCGUGUCGUGAGAUGUUGGGUUAAGUCCCGCAACGAGCGCAACCCUCAUCUUCAGUUGCCACCGGGUCAGGCCGGGCACUCUGAAGAAACCGCCGGUGACAAGCCGGAGGAAGGCGGGGAUGACGUCAAGUCCUCAUGGCCCUUACAGGCUGGGCUACACACGUACUACAAUGGUGGUGACAGUGGGUUGCGAAGGCGCGAGCCGGAGCCAAUCCCCAAAAACCAUCUCAGUUCAGAUUGCACCCUGCAACUCGGGUGCAUGAAGUUGGAAUCGCUAGUAAUCGCAGAUCAGCACGCUGCGGUGAAUACGUUCCCGGGCCUUGUACACACCGCCCGU
Molecule: ribosomal RNA, 502 nt
Filed under: uncultured bacterium
Lineage: Bacteria
Description: partial 16S ribosomal RNA
Rfam family: Bacterial small subunit ribosomal RNA
Source: RNAcentral